GAGUAUACAUGAGAACCAUACUCAAAGUUAGAUGCAAAAGGAGAAUCAUAAUCAUAGGCACAGGCAGAAGAAGUAGUAUGCUCAUAAUCAAAAUAAUUAGACAUGAUGAAAGAAGGGGGAAGGUAGAAAGGAAAUUCUAAAAAUUACGAAACAAACAAAACACAACACAAUUAAACAUGUGACACGCUGUUGGGGCAAAUCGGCAAGUUGUUGACAAAUUGACAAGUGUACCAAAUCGUACAAGUAAUAUAAAUGGUAAGACCAAGUAUCGUUUUCCCAAGAGACUCGAAAGGCUUUCUUGUUCACGUGAAUUAAAAUAAUAAGACUUGAAAAUAAGAAUUAAUAAUUUGGAUUUGAGAGCAAAAAUAUUAACAUGCAAAAUAAAGUUGAUUCAAUUGACAAACGAAAACAAUGGAUGAAUGGAUGUUGUUGGAGGUUUACAAUUUCAUCUAAUCCUCCCUCUCUUAUCUACUCCUCUUGAAUAUUAGUUUGAUUAAUUAAUUGUUAUGCGACUUUCUUAGCCUCCCCUUAACCCGAUCCCUCGGCGAAAAGGACCUAAUAUUAACUAUUGGCUUG
This 576-nucleotide long non-coding RNA is filed under the name Vigna radiata. Its description in RNAcentral is "long non-coding RNA (VRAD_LNC008432)". The record is from RNAcentral. Lineage: Eukaryota; Viridiplantae; Streptophyta; Magnoliopsida; Fabales; Fabaceae.